GAAGAAAUCCUUAGAAGCGCCUUCUCUGCAACUGAGGAUGGAUUUCUUACUCUUGUACGUAGGACUUGUGGACUAAAACCAUUGAUUGCAGCAAUUGGAUCUUGUUGUUUGGUUGGAGUUAUAUGGAGAGGGACAUUAUUCGUUGCAAAUCUGGGUGAUUCUCGAGCUGUAAUCGGUUGUUUAGGUAGAUCUAAUAAGAUACAUGCUGAGCAGUUGACUAAGGAUCAUAAUGCAUGUUUGGAAGAGGUUAGACAGGAGCUCAAAUCCUUGCAUCCAGAUGAUUCACAUAUUGUAGUUAUGAAGCAUGGUGUUUGGCGCAUCAAAGGCAUUAUUCAGGUAUCCCGAUCUAUAGGUGAUGCAUACUUGAAGAGGCCAGAGUUUUCUCUUGAUCCUUCAUUUCCACGAUUUCACCUUCCUGAGCCAAUUCGCCGACCUGUGCUAACAUCAGAGCCAUCCAUAUGUUCAAGAGUUUUACGACCCAAUGAUAAAUUUCUCAUAUUUGCGUCUGAUGGGCUUUGGGAACACAUGACAAACCAAGAAGCUGUGGAAAUUGUGUAUAAUUAUCCACGCACUGGAAUUGCAAGAAGACUUGUUAAAACGGCUUUAAAAGAGGCAGCUAAGAAGAGGGAGAUGAGAUAUGAUGAUCUUAAGAAAAUUGAUAAGGGAAGCAGGCGGUUUUUCCAUGAUGAUAUAACAGUGAUUGUCAUCUUUAUAGACCAUGAAUUGCUGAGUAAAAAUAUCUCUGUACCAGAGGUAUCAAUACGAGGUUUUUUUGACACUGUUGGACCAUCAAAUUUUAACAUUCUCCAUGGAAAUUAAUGGUAAUACAAUGUCCAUUAUCCGAAGUAGCAUGCAUUGCUUGAAAUGGUAGCUUUGGCCACUGAAGAGUUUGGCAAGUUUCUGCCUUCAUUCCUCUUCUAGUCUCUCAAAAACAUUUGAGUGCUGUUCCCUUACCCGCCCUCUUCUUUUUCUUCCCAAUUUUCUUUUCAAAUUUAAUCUAGUUCAUGGAGCCUGAUUUCUUUUAACUUUGGUACGUACUGCAUGGCGAUAAGCCUGUCAAGGAAGCUACUGUCUUUUUUUUGGUUUAACAUGCUGGACUCUGUACACACAAGUUUGUAAAAUUUAUACACGAUGUGUCAAUAAUUUUCUGCUUGUAUUGUUAGUAUUGGUUAUUUCAGUUUCGAUGCUCAAUGAACUAGAUUAAA
This 1205-nucleotide unclassified non-coding RNA is filed under the name Hevea brasiliensis (rubber tree). Lineage: Eukaryota; Viridiplantae; Streptophyta; Magnoliopsida; Malpighiales; Euphorbiaceae. The record is from RNAcentral.